This 299-nucleotide unclassified non-coding RNA is filed under the name Hevea brasiliensis (rubber tree). The record is from RNAcentral. Lineage: Eukaryota; Viridiplantae; Streptophyta; Magnoliopsida; Malpighiales; Euphorbiaceae.
AAAUUUGGGAUUAUGUUGGUGACACUUAUGUUCAUCGCUUGAACCAGUCAAAAGUUGAUUGUAAGUUUGGAGAGAUGAAUUCGCACUGUAUGUCACAUGAAGGAGAGUGUGGAACUUGUGAAUAUGAUGAAGACUCUGGAAUCAAUGAGGCCCUGUACAGCAGUAAAGUUGAAGCAAUUGUGGAUGAGUAUAAUCGGCUUCUUGCAACUCAGCUGGAAACUCAGAGACAAUAUUAUGAAUCUCUGCUGGCAGAGGCCAAAAGCAAAAAGGAAGUAUCCAUUUCUGAAGCAGUAGAAGAG